UGGGGAAUAUUGGACAAUGGGGGCAACCCUGAUCCAGCAAUGCCGCGUGUGUGAAGAAGGUCUUCGGAUUGUAAAGCACUUUCGACGGGGACGAUGAUGACGGUACCCGUAGAAGAAGCCCCGGCUAACUUCGUGCCAGCAGCCGCGGUAAUACGAAGGGGGCUAGCGUUGCUCGGAAUGACUGGGCGUAAAGGGCGUGUAGGCGGUUUACACAGUCAGAUGUGAAAUCCCCGGGCUUAACCUGGGAGCUGCAUUUGAUACGUGUAGACUAGAGUGUGAGAGAGGGUUGUGGAAUUCCCAGUGUAGAGGUGAAAUUCGUAGAUAUUGGGAAGAACACCGGUGGCGAAGGCGGCAACCUGGCUCAUGACUGACGCUGAGGCGCGAAAGCGUGGGGAGCAAACAGGAUUAGAUACCCUGGUAGUCCACGCUGUAAAC
This 435-nucleotide ribosomal RNA is filed under the name uncultured bacterium. RNAcentral's name for it is "partial 16S ribosomal RNA". It matches the Rfam family "Bacterial small subunit ribosomal RNA", at positions 355 to 807 of the family's 1533-position model. The record is from RNAcentral.